CGUUGGUGACCAGCGGAGGGAUCAUUACAGAGUUGAAAAACUCCAACCCCUGUGAACCUACCUUUACUGUUGCUUCGGCGGACGAUGGCCCCCCGGGCCGGACGCCGCCGGAGGUUACAAACCCUGCAUUUUUAGUGUAUCUCUGAGCACAAAACCAAAUAAUUAAAACUUUCAACAACGGAUCUCUUGGUUCUGGCAUCGAUGAAGAACGCAGCGAAAUGCGAUAAGUAAUGUGAAUUGCAGAAUUCAGUGAAUCAUCGAAUCUUUGAACGCACAUUGCGCCCGCCGGUAUUCCGGCGGGCAUGCCUGUCCGAGCGUCAUUUCACCACUCAAGCCCAGCUUGGUGUUGGGGCACCCGGCCGCCCGGCGGUCGGGGCCCCCAAGAACAUCGGCGGUCUCGCUAGGACCCUGAACGCAGUAACUCGCGGUAAAACGCGCUUCGUUCGGAGGCUUUUCCCGGCGGGCUCCAGCCGCUAAAACCCCCUAAAAUUCUUAGGUUGACCUCGGAUCAGGUAGGAAUACCCGCUGAACUUAAGCAUA
The sequence is a ribosomal RNA, 540 nucleotides long. The stretch from base 167 to 320 matches the Rfam family "5.8S ribosomal RNA".